UGUCAAAAUCCGAUUCUUCCUCUUUUAACCGCCUCUACAACCCUUAUCCGACCCCUCUAGACUAUAUCCACCCUUUGUAUAGCCUAAUGUUAUCAAAAGACUAGAUAGGAACGGAUAUUUACCUUUUUCUUUUUGGAAAUCGAGGUCCUUGCGUAGAGGGGAAGGAGAUCUACGUUUUUUCCUUCAGCUGGAAGUGCAACCGGAAUUCCUUUCUCUUUCUUUUUCUUCUUCUUCUUCCUCUUCCUUUCUUCCUUUCCUUUCCUCUCCUUCUUUUUCUUCCUCUCUGUCCGUCUGAGACUCCCUCUGUGACUCUUUCUCGGUUUCCAUCCAAAAGCCACAGCAAACCUCUAAUUAAAUCACAUCAAAACACUAUUCACCCUUUGUUUAAUAUUAUUAAAUUCCCAUUUUGCCCCUAACACUUCAACAUAUCUACCGUUAUGCCAUUAACUUUUGAUUCCUUCCAAUUUUACCCUUACCACUUCAA
Molecule: long non-coding RNA, 484 nt
Filed under: Phoenix dactylifera (date palm)
Lineage: Eukaryota; Viridiplantae; Streptophyta; Magnoliopsida; Arecales; Arecaceae
Description: long non-coding RNA (PDAC_LNC009500)
Source: RNAcentral